GUAGGUGGCAAGCGUUGUCCGGAAUUAUUGGGCGUAAAGCGCGCGCAGGCGGUUCUUUAAGUCUGAUGUGAAAGCCCACGGGCUCAACCGUGAGGGUCAUUGGAAACUGGAGAACUUGAGUACAGAAGAGGAAAGCGGAAUUCCACGUGUAGCGGUGAAAUGCGUAGAGAUGUGGAGGAACACCAGUGGCGAAGGCGGCUUUCUGGUCUGUAACUGACGCUGAGGCGCGAAAGCGUGGGGAGCAAACAGGAUUAGAUACCCUGGUAGUCCACGCCGUAAACGAUGAGUGCUAAGUGUUAGGGGGGUUUCCGCCCCUUAGUGCUGCAGCUAACGCAUUAAGCACUCCGCCUGGGGAGUACGGCCGCAAGGCUG
Molecule: ribosomal RNA, 372 nt
Filed under: uncultured organism
Description: partial 16S ribosomal RNA
Rfam family: Bacterial small subunit ribosomal RNA
Source: RNAcentral